UUUCCGUAGGUGAACCUGCGGAAGGAUCAUUCAUAAUAAGUGUUUUAUGGCACUUUUUUAAAUCCAUAUCCACCUUGUGUGCAAUGUCAGGGUUGAUUUUUCUCUCGAGAGGAUCGGCCCCAAACAUCAACUAUAUCUCAACUCUUUGUCUGAAAAAUAUUAUGAAUAAAACAAUUCAAAAUACAACUUUCAACAACGGAUCUCUUGGCUCUC
Molecule: unclassified non-coding RNA, 213 nt
Filed under: plant metagenome
Description: partial contains small subunit ribosomal RNA, internal transcribed spacer 1, and 5.8S ribosomal RNA
Source: RNAcentral